UGUUCUGAUUAAAUUUCCUUGCUGUAUAUGUUUUAAAACUUUUGUACACAUAUUAAACAUUGUUUACAUUGACUAGAUUUUUAUUACAGUAUCUAAAGUACUUACAGCUUUAUCCUGUUGUCUCUCAUUUCUGCCGUUUCUCAUCUAUGGGGGUGUUUCCAUAUGUAUAUGGUUAUUUUUCACUAGGACCUUCUCAGUUUCCUUGGACUUUACUGUUUGAGAGUUCUUUAGGCUAAGAUCAGGAUUAUAAUAAAAUUAUCUAACAGCUACUAGAGUAUUAUCUUUAUGAAAUAAUAAAACAGAUGCUAGUUCCAACAAGGUUGAUAUUAAAAGUGUUUAACAACUGGUAUGGCAUGGAUACAGAACAUCUAAAGAGAUGCUGGCUCAAUCAGGAUAAUUGCUAAGUGUAAAAUAAAAUCCAUAUGAGUGUACUUGCCUGUGCUAGAAAAGCAACAGCAUUUUCUGGAAUGAAGUAAGUUCCUCCAGAGUGAGUUUGCAUUUGGUUAAUAUUUAGAUGCCUGGGGACACUUAAUGUUCAAGAUCACUUUAAAUUAUAAUUUGCCUAUAGAUGUUCUGGGAUCUAAAGUCAUAUGAGUUUUGGCUGCAUACUCUCCCAGUUGCCAUCUUUGGGUUCUAAGUGACCUGUGGUCUCACUCCCGUCCAACCUUCUACUGUGUUCAUAAUUUGUGAUUAAUUGGUUCUCUGUGUGAGUUCUGGCAGAGAAUAGAUGAUUUCUGGUUAAAUCUUACUUUAGGACCUGUUGGAGCCUCAGCUUUGAAGGAGAAAGUUCUAUUAGACUUUUUGAUUCCUGUACCACUGGAGUCCUAGAAGAUUUAGGUACUGUAGUGUCAGUUUACCUUUUGUAAAGGGCCAUAAAGCAAAAGCCAGCUACAGAGGAGGACUCCAACAACUCUACAUACAUUUUCAAAAAUGUAUCCAAAAUUAUUUAUUGUUUUUAACCUGUUGGAGACUAACCUCAUUAUUUUUUCUUCCUAUUAUUGGAAAUGAAAUUCCUGUGAUAAUAUUUUCGUAAUGCAAAGCUAGUUGACAUAUAUUGAUUGGCACUGAUACCAGAGUCUUUUUGGACAGGACUUAAUCUACAAAGUUAAAUAGAGGAGUUAUGCUUGUUUAAUUUGGUGUUCAUAGCAAUAAUGACAAAAAUAGCAAAAAGAAAACUAAAGGGUUUUGUUUUCUAGGAAAUAAAAUGUAUAGUUUCCUUCUAAAUUAGAUGUAUUUUUUAUUGUUUCUGACCAGUACAUAUGGUUGUAAAACUAGUAGGCUGUGGGGAGCAACUCGGACUAGACUAAGUUACUCGAAUUAAGACUUAUUCUAUGCAUCUGCUCUCCCACAAUAUGGCGCUGGGAGAGGAGUAAACAGCUUCUACUCAGCUACCUCUCGCCAACUUGAGUGAUGACCUGCAGGAGCUGAUCCUGCUCCUGAUUGGAGGAGAGCAGCGUACUCGGCGUGUGGGUAGCAGAGUUGGGAUUGGUGGAAGAGGACUAUAAAGGAGGAGAGAGACAACAUGCACCAGGAAUACCUGAGGAACAUCUGAGCAGCCCCCGAGAGAGCUGGCUGGUGGUGUGCCGCUCCCCCGCGGAAGUGUGGAAAGUGGCAGGGGGAACCACCCUUCCACGGAGGUGGAAGGGUCGGUAGCCAACCCGGGAAGAACCAGCAGCAAACCCGGGGAGGGCCGAGCAGACAAAAGAGCAGCGCAGGGUCCUGUGUCGUUCCUCCGCGAAGAGGGGGAGCGACAGUAGGCAUUUUUAAAAAGAGUUAAAGCACUUAUCUUAAAUGUAAAUGAUCAUAGUUGGAAUUGAUGGAUUGAUUAUACCAUUUAAGAACUUCCAAAUAUUGACUUUGAGGCUUAUUGGUCUGUUCACCAUGACAUAUGGGUGAUUUGUAGAUAGUCAAUGAGAUUGUCAUGAAAUAUUCUGAAAGUAUAAUGUUCUGCCCAUCAGAGGUAUAGAACCAAUUCCCAGGAAGAUCUGUCAAAUAUACAAGGUUUGUUACCUGCAGAAGACCAGGUUGAAAGCAUCCAAUAAAGUUGCACUCAGAUAUCUUCAAACUGGGAAUGCGAAGUCAUUAUUGUUGUGUUUUUCGCAGUCAAUAGUAAGCAGUUUCAUUCUGUAAGUCCAUUUUAUCAGAAAUGGUAGCCCCAAACAACAGUGGGGAAGCAGAAUUAGCUCUGAUCAUAAAGGGAUGUAGAAAAAUGAUAUUCCUUGUGUUCCAGUUAUGUGGGCAAAUUACUCACUCAGAGAAUUAGAACGUGAGGAUUAAUUUAAGAGAAAAAGAAAAUCAAGUUUCCAUUCAUAUCAACAGGACUUUGAAGGAAGCAGAGAAAAAGCUGCUGUGUUUUUGUUGUGAUGAUAAACAAAGGCAAAAAGUAACCAAAUAAAUCUGAGCUCGGAAAAGGAUCUUUACUGUAAAUCAACUACUCCAGGAAGGAUUCUAAAUAUGUACAUAUAACAUACCAUAUGUAAUAUAUAUUUAUAUGUCAUUAUAAAUUUAUUAAAAUGAACAUCCAGCUUUCUGACAUACCAGCAUCAAUUCUUCAAUAAAUGUAAGAUAUUCUUUUUAAAAUGAAGUCUAUUUUAUGCCUUAAACAUAUGAGUAAUGAAGACUAUUUUACAAAGUUCAAUUUGGGUAACUUGUGUUAAGACACAAGAUGCUCUGAUUAAUGUAUUGUAAUGAUAGUAUUUGCUUUAUUAUAAAUCCAUGACACUUUAUGUGACUAACAAAGAUGUAGCACACAAUAUUGUCUUCGCAUGGCUGCGGUGAGACACACUGAUAGCUGACGACAGCCCAUUUGCCUGUUUUGAAAAAUUUUUCCUAAAGCUCUUGUGUUGCUUGAGUUUUCCCCGACCACUGGUUCUAGAACAGAAUGAAGUUAAAUAGCCUAACUGUGUCUCUGUCUUCAGAUGCAAGUGCAAUUUUUUAAACAUUUGCACUAAGCUCAUCUUAAAAGCAAUGAGACAAAAAUGAGGAGAUUAGUCAUACAAAAGGCCAGAAAAAUUAUGUAUUAUGGAUUAGCUAAAUAUUGGAUUUCUUUAUAUUGGACUCUAAUCAGUUUCAGAUUGCAGUUAGUUUUAUUUCUGGAAAGAGGACUGAGUGGAGCUGUUUCUUUUGUAGAGUCAGAAGCCGUGGUCGCUCCAGCAGUUCUCAGUCUGUACAAUGUGGACCUCUCUGAGGAACCAUCAGCAGGGCUGAUCAUAAAUCAUAGAGCUUUCUGUUUACCCUAUGACUGCUCUUUAAAAACAGGAUCAAUGCACUUCAUUGCUGAAACCUGAAAACAAGUAUCUAAGGGGGGUGGGGAGAGUGGCAGAAAGACAAUAUUAAAAAGGUCAAACGUUAAUUCACCUUGGUUCCCAGAAAUAUUCCUUACAAGUUUUUGAUGAAAACAAUUUCAUAGCCCUUGAUGAUUACAUUAUAACAGGCCCACAUUCAGGAACAUUAAAACUAGUUACAUGCUCAUUUUUAUUCUAAAAAUUCUUAGCUUUUCUAAAGCAACAUCUUCCUUUUGAAGUCCAGGGGAAAAAUAAAACAACUGACCAAUUUCUGGAAUACAGAUUCUCACAUAAAUACCGACUAGAAAAUUUUUUCAGGAGAUAGUUUUUAGCAAAAAGAAGAGUAAUAUCAUUUCCAAGGUGCAUGUUUUGUGCAGCAUGAAAUGUAUGAAGUAAAAGAAACUAAAAGAUGCAUGUUUUUAUUCUAUUUCACUUUCUUGGCACUUGAAUAACAAUUAUAUCACAAACAUUCCCUUGCAAUUCAUCUGUGUAAAAAUCCAUAAAAUAACACCUUCCAGAUGAAAUAGAAAGAAAAAACUUUCCAUUUUUAUUACUUUAAAAUGUAUUCCUUGUCCCAGAGCCCACCAUUUUCCAAAAUAUGUGGUUUGAAGAAAUAGCAUUAACAACUUCUUGCAUAAAAAACUUUUAUGAAAGCAAACUUUGAGUGAUUUUCUGGUAAAUCUAAUUUAUUUAAAUUAGCUUUAUUUAAUUACACAUACAGCUGUUCUGUGCCCCGAACAGGGCCCAAGAGACUAUUUAAAGUGCUUAAGUCUAAAUGUCAUGUUUUAUCACUGUGUAAUAUGUAGCAAACUACAGCAAAAAAAUUUCACUGUUCACUGGGUAGUACUUCCAGAAUACAGCAUUAUUUUCCUUGUUUGUUUUAAUCUUCUAUAUAGUAGUUAUAAAAUUACAAGUUAAAUGUAAGUAGAACUGACAUUCAUGCCAUAAUUCAGGUUAUAGUUAUUUCCUUGUUGAGAAGGGACUCAUUUUGGUAGCUUUAAUUACAAUCUAUAUCUAGAGUUUCCAAGAUCCAUAUCAUAUUUCUAUUUAGUUUCAAGACCCCUACACCCAGUGUCAUCACCUUAAAUAAUCCACAAAUCCAAAGAAAAUUCAUUAUAUUUAUUUCAACCAAUACAUCUUGUGGUAUUCCAACAUCAUCAAAUUGGCUCCACUGAACAUUGGGCCUACUGAUUCUUGAAUGAUUUGGGGGACAAAAUGGGUAAGAGUUGACAUCACUUCUGUUCUCAUGGAAUGAACUAAAAGCUGUAUUACAGCUUACCACAUUCAAGAGAACUUGGACUUGAGUCAGAUAAAUUGAAUUUGAAUCACAGCCUUACUAUUAUUGACCCAGUAAUUUUGUGCAAAUCAUUUUUGGAAGUGGUUUACUCAAAUAUGAUCAAACUUCCCAAUGAUAUCUAGAAAAUCCAAGAAGAAAAUAUAUGUGAAAAUGUUAUAUAAGGCAUAAGGAUUUAUGCAAAUAUUAGUAAUUCUUAGCCUAUUCCUAAAAGAAGAACCCAAUGAGGAAGAUAGUCCUGAAAAUAGAAUAAGCCACCUUGUUAAUAAAAGAAUAGUAUAUAAGCCUCCACUACUGAAUAGUCAUAUAACACAAAUUGGUUCCAUGAAAUUUCAUAAGAACUUAACCAAUUCCUAUGCUAACUAACAAUGUAGAAAACAAAAUAACUCAUGAGCCAGGUAAAGCCAAGCAUUUCAUGUACAGAAAUCUUUAGAAAAGAAGGUUAUGUUUCUUGGCAAUGUUAUAGAUCUUUUAUGUUAAUAGAAAUUAAUGGGUAAUUUACAUUGAAAUAGAGGUCAGAAGUAUAACAUCUCUAACUUACUUAUGAAACAGUUUAGAUAUUGCAAUAACCAAGAUCAAGGUGUGACUUUUGUCAAAUUUUAAAGCUUUUUUUUCGUUCAAAGGCUCUUCCAAUACAAUUAAAUUGGAAUGAGAAUCUUUCAUAAGUUCCACUGUAUUAUGCUACCCAGUCAGCCCAGGUGAUUGGCUUAAAUUGGCACAUGAGUGGGUUGGAUGGCACACAUUUUAUGAAGUAUUAUUUGCUAGCAUGACUGUCUUUAUAUUGGAAGAUUUUGUGGAUCCCUCUUUAUUUGAUUUUAGCAUGUUUCAGUAUCCCCAGAAGUAGUGAAAAAGUUUUAUUUCCUAAUGGCAUUGAACCAUAUCACUCCUGUAGUAAAUCUACAAGCCACAUACAUAAGCAGUCACUGGUCUUUUCCACUUUGAAAGAGUGGCUAAUGAGAAUGUCAGAGGAAAUUUUUAAUCUUCUUUUCCUCUCAAAAAGCAAUUCAAAGUCACCUGUGCCAUGCAUUCAAAUGCUUGUCUCCUACACACCCAAAACACUGCCAACUUCCAAUCUUCAUUGCACUGUCAUUGAAUUUGUUUGUAUGGGUUAUAUCAUCUCCUGCCCCAACCUUUAUUCCCCCCAAAAUUUGAGGGCCGAGAGUUUUAUCUGCUUAUCACAUUAUGUCAGUCUUUUGCAAACAAGCUGUAGCAGGUACCUGAUAAUCUUGGGGAUAAUUACUCUUACAGUAAUUUGCAACACUAAUGAUACUUUCCCAGUUUUUUUAUGGUGCAAGUGUUUUAUGCUUUAUUAAUUUGCACUUGGUCUUUUCUUUGGUAUUUUUCCUCAUCUGAGAGUUUUACAGGUCUACUGCUUGUACUGUUCCCAUGAAGAAUAUUUCCACUCUGAAAGAAGGAAAAUGAUUAUGGUUAUACUGAAAAGGCCAGAUGCUGCCCUUUAUAGGAAAAAAUAUAUUAUAAAACUUGGCUUUGUGUCUUUCCAGAAUAGGAGGGUCUCCUGCUCGAGGACAGCACUCCAGUGAAGACAAUCUACUGAGAAUAGAGGAAGAGAAUACUUCGAGACACGUCGUGGAUUCAGAAACAAGCAAGAAAGCUUGCAGAGACAGAGGAACAGCAUCUAGAGAAUGGCACAUAUGUAAUGGAUGAAGUUUGAUGAGUUGGGACAUAGACAAGCACUCUUGAUGCCAUCACUAUGAUUAAGGUAACUGACAUAUCCAGCACUUCCCCAAGUUUCCUCAGCUCCUUCCAUUUUUGUGUGUGGAUAGAAAGAACUUAAGAUCUAUGUGCUUAACAAAUUUUUGAUGUGAUCUUGUUUUUUAAUUAUUUUACUUUUUAUUAUGAAUUAUUUUUCUGUAGAUUUGGGUUUUGCUUCUUUUCUAAUAUCUUGUGUUCAAUACUUAAUUAUUUUUUGUUCUUUCUUUUUUCAUAAUUCUUGAAGGCUAUAUCAUUUCUUGAAAGCACUGCUUGGGAAAUCCUUCCACUUGUCUUGAAUCAUGUUGUUUAGGGUAACAUUUCAGCUGUUUAAAAAUUAGAAAAGUAUCAACAUUCCAGAAUUUGGUUUUCUCAUAUUUCUAUGAUUUCUAUUUUUUAUUACAGAAAAUUUGGUCAAUUAUAUAACUUCCUUUUAAAAUAUUUAUUUGAAAAGCAGAAUCACUUCCCAAAUGACCUCAAAAACUGGCACGUGGUCAUACAGAAACCAGGAGUCAGAAACUCCAUCAGGAUCUCCUAUGUACUUGAGACAUUUUCCUCUGCUUACCCUCAGGCACUUUAGCAGGGAGCUCGAUUGGAAACAGAGCAGUAGAAUGUGAACCCUCACUGUAAUAUAGUAUGCUGACGUCACAAAUGGCAGCUUAGUGUGCUAAGCCACAACACUGGCCCCUUCUGCAUUUUGUUUACUUAUUUUAUUGACAAAUACAUACAUAUUUUAAAUGAAUAUUUAAUGGGCUUGUACUGUGGCAUAGUAGGUUAAGCCUCUGCCUGCAGUUCAGGCAUCCCAUAGGGGUGCCAGUUUGAGUCCUAGCUGUUCCACUUCUGAUCUAGCUCUGUGCUACUGGCCUGAGAAAGCAGCAAAAGAUGGCUCAAGUGCUUCAGUCCCUGCACCCACAUGGGAGACGCAGAUGAAGCUCCUGGCUUCGGACCAGCCCAGCUCUGGCCAUUGUGGCCAUUUGGGGAGUAACCAGCUGAUGGAAGUCCUUUCUCUCUGUCUCUCCCUCUAUCUGUAACUCUGCCUCUCAAAUAAAUGAAUAAAUAAAUCUAUAAAAAUUAAUGAAUGCUCAAAGAACACAGGAGUUUUGGGAGAGUGCUCUUUACAUUAAGUUCUAUAUAAAGAUUUGUUAUGUAAUUUCAAGCUAUUUGGGGAAUUUGGGUUGUACUUGUUUUAUUGAUUUCAAGCUUAAUUCUAUUGCAGUUAGGGAAGCAUAUUUUGACUUAUUUCAAUAAUUGAAAUGUACCCAUGUUUCCUUUAUGGUCCAGUGUAUAAUAGAUUUUGGGAAAUAGUCCAUAUACAUUUGUAAAGGAUAUACGUCAUCAUUGUUGAGUGAUGUGUCCCCUAGACAACAUUAGGUCAAGGCUUGUAAUUGUGUUGUUCAAAUCUACAUUCUUUCUGAUCUUUUCCACUUUUUCUGUCAACUAUUGAGAGAAAAUAGUUAAAGUUCCCAAAUAUAAUUUUAUUGUGGAUUGGUUUAUAUCUCUUUUAGAGAUAAGAUAGUAAGAGGACUCACUAACUCAAGCCCCUGCUGACCUGACUUGUACCCCUCCCCUGAGUAUGUAUCCGUCUCCAGCUACAGAUCAGUCAGGAGUAAGGCGAAUCCAGACCCUAACCACGAAAGACUACUGCCCAUAAGGCACUAUGCCAGAAUGCAUGUAUACCCACCUUAGCCCAGCUCCACUGAUGCAUGACCUUCCCAUUGUCCUUGCUGGAGAGGCAGCAAUGAGCAACGCUGCCAUUUGGAGUGUGUCCUGUGCAGAAGAAGGAACUGUGCCUGCACAGAACCCAGAGCUGAGUGCAAACCAAAGUAUGAUGCUGAAAGGGACAAACCAGAACUCCAGGCCAGUGCAGAUUGAAGUGCUUUGUGAUAAGUGGGAACCACCAUGCUUCCCCAUCCGAUAAAAAUCCCUGCCCAGCUCCCCCUCCCCUCCUUGAGCCAGUCAGCAGAACCUCUUCCCAUCCUGCUGGUUCUUCUGUGCUUGAGCAUAAGCCCCCAGUGAUCUUUGCCUGGGUUGCAUGUUGGACUCUUGUUAGUUUCUAUUUGCAAAUGAGCCAAAGAACUUGGGCUCAGUAUCAUUUUUAGUUUUAUCAACUUCUGUUUUUCAUGGUGUCAAAGUUAAGGUUUUUCUUUUUUUUUUAAUUAUUAUUAUUUUUUCUUUUUUUGACAGGCAGAGUGGACAGUGAGAGAGAGAGACAGAGAGAAAGGUCUUCCUUUUGCCGUUGGUUCCCCUCCAAUGGCUGCCAUGGCCAGCGCGCUGUGGCCGGCCCAGUGCGCUGAUCCGAAGCCAGGAGCUAGGUGCUUCUCCUGGUCUCCCAUGCGGGUGCAGGGCCCAAGAACUUGGGCCAUCCUCCACUGUACUCCGGGGCCACAGCAGAGAGCUGGCCUGGAAGAGGGGCAACCGGGACAGAAUCCGGCGCC
Molecule: non-coding RNA, 8723 nt
Organism: Oryctolagus cuniculus (rabbit)
Lineage: Eukaryota; Metazoa; Chordata; Mammalia; Lagomorpha; Leporidae
Source: RefSeq, a predicted model, not a curated record